Molecule: ribosomal RNA, 253 nt
Filed under: uncultured bacterium
Lineage: Bacteria
Description: partial 16S ribosomal RNA
Rfam family: Bacterial small subunit ribosomal RNA
Source: RNAcentral
UACGAAGGGGGCUAGCGUUGUUCGGAAUCACUGGGCGUAAAGCGCGUGUAGGCGGAUUGCUAAGUCAGGGGUGAAAUCCCGAGGCUCAACCUCGGAACUGCCUUUGAUACUGGCGAUCUUGAGUCCGGGAGAGGUGAGUGGAACUCCUAGUGUAGAGGUGAAAUUCGUAGAUAUUAGGAAGAACACCAGUGGCGAAGGCGGCUCACUGGCCCGGUACUGACGCUGAUAUGCGAAAGCGUGGGGAGCAAACAGG